RNAcentral lists this ribosomal RNA (253 nucleotides) under uncultured bacterium. RNAcentral's name for it is "partial 16S ribosomal RNA". It matches the Rfam family "Bacterial small subunit ribosomal RNA", at positions 524 to 776 of the family's 1533-position model. The record is from RNAcentral.
UACGGAGGAGGCAAGCGUUAUCCGGAAUUAUUGGGCGUAAAGCGUCCGUAGGUGGUUGGCCAAGUCUGCUGUCAAAGGGUGGGGCUUAACCUCAUAAAGGCAGUGGAAACUGGCGAGCUAGAGUGCGGUAGGGGUAGGGGGAAUUCCCAGUGUAGCGGUGAAAUGCGUAGAGAUUGGGAAGAACAUAGGUGGCGAAAGCGCCCUGCUGGGCCGCAACUGACACUGAGGGACGAAAGCUAGGGGAGCGAAUGGG